This 408-nucleotide ribosomal RNA is filed under the name uncultured bacterium. RNAcentral describes it as "bacterial SSU rRNA". It matches the Rfam family "Bacterial small subunit ribosomal RNA", at positions 355 to 759 of the family's 1533-position model. The record is from RNAcentral.
UAAGGAAUAUUGGACAAUGGAGGCAACUCUGAUCCAGCCAUGCCGCGUGAAGGAUGAAGGCCCUACGGGUUGUAAACUUCUUUUCUCUUAGAAAAAACUACUGGUUUCGUACCGGUACUGAUUGUACAAGAGGAAUAAGCAUCGGCUAACUUCGUGCCAGCAGCCGCGGUAAUACGAAGGAUGCAAGCGUUAUCCGGAUUCACUGGGUUUAAAGGGUGUGCAGGUGGGGUAAUAAGUCAGUGGUGAAAGCCCCCGACUCAAUCGGGGAACUGCCAUAGAUACUGUUAUUCUUGAGUGUAGUUGAGGCGGAUGGAAUAUGACAUGUAGCGGUGAAAUGCUUAGAUAUGUCAUAGAACACCAAUCGCGAAGGCAGUCCGCCAAACUAUUACUGACACUGAAACACGAAAG